RNAcentral lists this signal recognition particle RNA (295 nucleotides) under Carlito syrichta (Philippine tarsier). Its description in RNAcentral is "Metazoan signal recognition particle RNA (ENSTSYG00000028070.1)". It matches the Rfam family "Metazoan signal recognition particle RNA". From Rfam's summary of the family: The signal recognition particle (SRP) is a universally conserved ribonucleoprotein. It is involved in the co-translational targeting of proteins to membranes. The eukaryotic SRP consists of a 300-nucleotide 7S RNA and six proteins: SRPs 72, 68, 54, 19, 14, and 9. The record is from RNAcentral. Lineage: Eukaryota; Metazoa; Chordata; Mammalia; Primates; Tarsiidae.
GCCGGGCAUGGUGGUGCAUGACUGUAGUCCCAACUACUUGGGAAGCUGAGGCUGGAGGAUUGCUUGAGUCCAGGAGUUCUGGGCUGCACUCUGCUGGUCAAGUGUCCACACUUAAGUUUGACAACAUUAUAGUGACCUCCCAGGAGUGGGGGACCACCAGGUUGCCUAAGGAGAAGUGAAGUAGUCCAAGUGAGAAACAGAGCAGGUCAAAACUCCCAUGGUGAUCAGUAGUGGGAUUGUGCCUGUGAAUAGCCACUGCACUCCAGCCUGGGCAAUAUAAUGAGAUCCUGUCUCU